GUAAUACAUCGGAACGUGCCCAGUAGUGGGGGAUAGCCCGGCGAAAGCCGGAUUAAUACCGCAUACGACCUGAGGGUGAAGGCGGGGGAUCGCAAGACCUCGCGCUAUUGGAGCGGCCGGUGUCAGAUUAGGUAGUUGGUGGGGUAAAGGCCUACCAAGCCGACGAUCUGUAGCUGGUCUGAGAGGACGACCAGCCACACUGGGACUGAGACACGGCCCAGACUCCUACGGGAGGCAGCAGUGGGGAAUUUUGGACAAUGGGCGCAAGCCUGAUCCAGCCAUGCCGCGUGUGGGAAGAAGGCCUUCGGGUUGUAAACCACUUUUGUCAGGGAAGAAACGGCUUUGGUUAAUACCUGAGGCUAAUGACGGUACCUGAAGAAUAAGCACCGGCUAACUACGUGCCAGCAGCCGCGGUAAUACGUAGGGUGCGAGCGUUAAUCGGAAUUACUGGGCGUAAAGCGUGCGCAGGCGGCUAUGCAAGACAGAUGUGAAAUCCCCGGGCUUAACCUGGGAACUGCAUUUGUGACUGCAUGGCUAGAGUACGGCAGAGGGGGAUGGAAUUCCGCGUGUAGCAGUGAAAUGCGUAGAUAUGCGGAGGAACACCGAUGGCGAAGGCAAUCCCCUGGGCCUGUACUGACGCUCAUGCA
Molecule: ribosomal RNA, 647 nt
Filed under: uncultured bacterium
Lineage: Bacteria
Description: bacterial SSU rRNA
Rfam family: Bacterial small subunit ribosomal RNA
Source: RNAcentral